Long non-coding RNA from Cygnus atratus (black swan), 2356 nucleotides. RefSeq lists it as uncharacterized. The record is from RefSeq and is a predicted model, not a curated record. NCBI's taxonomy places the organism in Eukaryota, Metazoa, Chordata, Aves, Anseriformes, Anatidae. The transcript is spliced from 3 exons.
GGAAUCAGAGACAGCUUGGAAUUAAUGUGUUCUGGUCUUUAUAGAUGGAGAACCGAGGUGUAAGGUGAUGUUGCUUGUCCCUUUGCUGACUGACCAGAGCAGAGGGAGGCCAGAUGAGGGGCUGAAUUUACUUUGUGUGGACCUGCAGUGGCUUCCUUGUUCUUGCAAAAAGAAAAUAUCAGAGUCAGACCACGUUUCUCAGAACUUCUGUUUCUGGCACUGUUGUGGAACUGAUGCAUUUAUUAACAGUUGCUGAUUUGUAAAAUUAGGCUUUUAGGCACCAGCAAAUGCAUACCUGAAGGAGAUAUAGGACAUUGCCCAGUGACAGGAAAUAGACUAGUGCCAGCUGUGCACCGAAGGCCGGAAUGGAAAGAUCCUUCUUGGCAGAUGACCAGCAUAUCACCAUUCACAAGCCUGCCACUCACUGUUUGUUUUAUGGACUACUACAAAAGAAUACUCAGGAAAUGGAAAGUCACAACCUGUCUGAAGCCCGUGGUCUCUUUAACACUUUUGGGUGUAAUGUGUCAUGUUUCUCAUGGUUCUUUCUCAUGCGUUUUCUCUCUUGACAUAACUUCAGAUUCUGCCUAGCAAGACAGAAUAGCAGGAGAAAGAAAAAAAAUUAGUCUAUCGGUUGAAUAAGCAAUUAGGUAAGCAAGAUAACAUCCUGGUAGUCCAUUUUUUUUUCAUGACAAAACACAAAAGAAGAAUGGAAUAGUGCAUUUUCUUGACAUCAUCCAUAAACAAUUGUUGAGUUGAGAGUGUUCCUAGUUUAAAGAAUACGUUCACACAUCUGAUGAGUCAGGGAAGACAUUUUUAUGUAUGGACACACACUAUAAAAAAUACAUGCUAACGUGCAGUCACUCGUAUGUCCAAGUGGUCAAGUUGCCAUCUGUCUCUCGGACAUAACUGACAAAUGUGGCAUAAUUUUAAAUUGCCCCAUUUGAUUUACUGCAAAAAAAAUCUAAAGCAGAGAUGGCACAGGUAUCAUUUGGUUAGUCUGUGGAUAAUUAGAAAAAUUACCGUAAAUGCCCACUGUAAAAGCAAUUGUGGUAAGUUAAGUUGGCUGUUUUGUUGGGUAAUACUGAUUCUGAUUUCACAUAAAAAAUCCACAUCAAAAAAAUCAACCCACAGCUCAGCCGAGGACCAUGACCAAUGACCUCCCCAGCAGGGAGAGAGGCCCCUUGGUCUCAUUGUUCCACACUGGUCACAGCAGUUACUGCUUUGCAUUUCUAUCUAGAUUCCAUAUCAGUGACACCACUGAAAUAUGUUCCAAUGGCUUUCAGAUCAAUGCACGAGUCUAUGUGCUAUAUGAAGAUCUUAGAGCAAUGUGUAAGUUUUGUUUAAAACGCAUCCUUCCAGGUCAAUGGAAUCAUACAUUAGGUGUUUUCAUGUGGGAAAAUGAAAAAUUAGAAGUUAACGCUUCACGGUCUACUUAGUAUUUGCCCCUAGUGACAUUCACCUAAGUAACACUUCUGUUAAGUGCUUUUUUUAUUUUUUAUUUUUUUUAUUCACUGAUCCACAUCCCAAGUGGAAAUUUUCUCCACCUUCUUCAGUGCCAGUGUGGAUGAAGCUCAUGCUGGAGACCCUGUAUGCUCUGCUCUUUGACAGUCCCUGGCAGGCUCAGGAAGCAGUCUCUCUUGUGAAGGUUCAUCUUCUCAGCAUCUGUGAGUGCAGAGAGCCACAUUCUUGUGAGUGUCAGUGUUCAUAUGCAGUGUCCCACAGGUUUGUCUGUACAGAAAUCUCACAUGCAUUAAUCUCACAUGCAUUCUAGUGUACCUUAAAGCUGACAAUUUUUCACUAUCAGUUUUUUGAACAGACCAAAGUAGGAUUUAACAAUUCUGCCUACUCACUCUAUUCUGUUUGGACUGUUGAUAAACAGUGGAAAUAAUCUCAGAUUUUCUCACCACAUUUUUUCUUCAGUCCAGUGGCAAUGGUUAUUCAGGUGAACUAGAGUCAGACUUGAUAGCUGUUGGGACUCAUUCAUGAUCUGAUUUUUUUUUGUUGUAAAGGAAGCGGGGGAAAGAUGGGCACUGUAGAAUUUUCACAGUGCUGUACAAAUACUUGUUUUAAUAGGUGAAAGGUAGGUAUUUUGCCCAUUUGUCACUUUUUUAAUGCUUACUCAUUGCAAGAAUGAAUACAAGUUAAUUACAAAAGAAUGUGAGGAAGGUGGUACAGCUUUAAUUGCAGCUUUCCUGGCCAACUAUGCAUAGCUUGCUUGGGUUUGUCAGUACAAACUGUCCUGUCUAUUUGCCCAUAUUCUGACAAUUGUUUCUCCUCAGUUAAAAUAAAGGAAAUUUUUAUCUCAGGCUUAGUCUUUUUUCAGUGCAAUUGUUACCUCUGUGGCUGACAGUACUGU